RNAcentral lists this long non-coding RNA (5031 nucleotides) under Sus scrofa (pig). Its description in RNAcentral is "lncRNA (ENSSSCG00000054010.1)". The record is from RNAcentral. Lineage: Eukaryota; Metazoa; Chordata; Mammalia; Artiodactyla; Suidae.
CAUCCAAGAUCUUUCAGCAUAAGUUUAAAUGGUUGCCAAGGACGUAGUUUCCAGCAGAUUGUAAGUGUUAAUAUUUUAAAAGAAAAGUACACAUCACUUUGAAAUGUGUCUUGGUAGAAUCAACAUCUAGACAAUUUGAAACAUUUUCAUCCACUUAAAAUAUACAUGAAAACUCUCUCUUACAUAACACCUGGAAAUGGUAUGUUCUUUAUUUGUAUCUUUUCCAUUUGCCACAUAAUUUUAUCCUCGUGGAGUUUAUUUUUAUCCUUAAAUCUUUAAUUAACCACACUGUUAGGCUUCCCAGCAACAAAAUAGGUUUACAAACUGUGUUGCUGGCUGGAAUUUGGAAGGAGGAUGGAAGAUAGAUUUAUGGUCCAAGGGAGUGAAGCAUCCCCAGGAUUGGUUCAGUGUCAUGCUCUGUGGGAGGAGCAAACCGCAGGAUGCCCAGGACCUAGAUCUUCCACUGGUUUAUCCGCAGUGCCCAAGCUGCAGGGUCUUAACGGGGGAGAGCAGGAGGCAAGUAAAAAUAGAAAGUGCUGUUAUGGGGCAAAACUCUCUGUAAGACUUUGAGAACAAAGCAGCACCACCUUGGCCUAAAGGGUGAGUGUGGCCUGAAAGUGGGAAAAAAAGAUCUGUCCUUACACUUCAGCGAGUCCAUUUCUGAGUGUCAUGGACACUGUGAGACUGUGAUCCUGAGAAACAGCAGGCACAUCAGCAUUUGUAGCCUGACUCCGAUAGUGGCUGCCACACAGAGGCUGGCGGAGCUCACGCCAGAACCAGCCCUCGGGCAACAUCUGUUGUGAGCAGCAGCCCCGUUGGCAGGCCCACGAUGAUGGCCCUGGCUGGGCAGACACACCCUGACAUCAGGCACAGCACCCCCAGAGUAGCAGUGUCUCGGGUGGUUGCCAUGGUUUCAGUGGCAGCUGACGAGAGCAGCCUUGGCCAAGUACCAGUUCUUCUGCUCAGUUGGGAGCUUUACUGCAAACUCCAGGGAGACAUUCCCCAGAAGGAGCCCAAGUGGUCACAAGUGGCCAACACAGGAAAGACGUAUUUGCAAACCCAUGUGAAAUACCAACUGGGCACCCCUCCCAAACUUGGUAUCAACUUGCAAGGGUCCCAGUGCUGCUGCCCUGGCAGAGGGAAGCCAGAACCAAGAAGCCUCGCUUUUCACUCAACACAGCCCUGUUUUGGCCUCAGACAUUUGUGGGCUGGGCAAACGAGGUCCGACAGAAUCUCUCCAAAACUUGCAACAGACCAGCCCAUCAUUAUGAGAUAAAUAGUGGCUGGAAAAUAGGAGAUUCAAAACUGAAAGUGCCAGGUUGGCAUCAGAGUUUAACUCAAAGUGCCCUCCAGGCUAUGAGGCCUGCCUUUGCCUAUUCUGUCCAACAUCAGCUGGGAAUUUUCCGAUAUGGGAGAUGACCUGAUCUAAUUAAGGGGAAAUGGUAUUACUGUAGGUCAAAUCAGAGCAAAGUAAGUCAAGAAAAGCAGAAGCUAGCCUGUCAAGGCCUCCCUUCCAAUGCUUACACAAGAGGAGAAAUAAAGGGGUAUUUGCUGAUAAUCAGCUAGAACUAGGGAGUUCCUGCCUAGAAAAUGUUGGCCACUAAAUAACCAUGACCUUAACCGAAGGGCACUGAGCUGAGUUUAGUCGUACUUGCAGAGAGUCUGAAGUUCUCUGAAUGAGAAGAUGUGCCAAGUAUUUCACUGAGGCAUGAAAUCCCCAUCCUCUCUCCGCAGCAUAGAGGGAGGCGGGCGGGAAGAGAGCCUGGGCUCGGGGGAAAGCUUCACGCCCAAAGACUGAGGCCCUACCUCCAGCAAGUCACCAAAUACUCACAACCAGUGGGCAGCAGAGCCAGCCUGGCCAAGGACAUGUUCUGCAAAGAACUUACUAUAUCCACUUGCAGGCUCCCUUUGGGUUUUUUUUUUUUUCCUCCAAGAAGCUGAGAAAAAGGUGGACUGUGACAGCUCUGGGCUGGGAAAGCAUUCUGACUGCAGAAGACAAGUCAGCAUGUGGACACCUUCCUGGAGGCCCCCAGACCCUGACCCACGUCGGCAUGUAUCUCCCUAAACCCCACUUAACCUGGAUGAGUGCCGCUUGAGUUGCUGUUGAACAUCAAAGCCAAAUCCUUCCCGCUCUGAGUGUCAACAAGUUUGGCAGACUUUUGUCCACCAUCCAUUACUUGGGUUAGUUCUAUACUACUCAUCUAGUUGUUGGGUUUCUUCUGCAAAAUUCUAAGCUCUUUUCUCUUUUUGUUUUUCUCAUUCUUCUUCUUCCUUUUUUUUUUUUUUUUUUUUUUUUUUUUUUGGCUGUGCCCGAGGCAUGCGGAUGUUCACAGCAGUGACAACACUGGACCCUUAACCUACUGAGCCACCAGGGAACUCCCCUUUUUCUUCUUUAUAUCUCCUGUCACAGCAAAGGGAAAAGACAGACCCUAAUAAAUUGUGAAAUUGUUUGAAUACAUGUGAUUCAACUGCCAGAGGCAUAAGCCAUCAUCGAGGUAACUUCGGCUAGCCCUGAAAACCCAGGCCCUGCAGAUCCUUUAGGGGAAUGUCCCACAGGAUAAUCACCAGGGCCUGUGUGUCCUGGUGUUGCCAGGACAGAGCCUGUCUUGCAGGAGGAAUCCGGGAGCUAUGUUUUGGGAUUCGUCGUCAUGUGUGGUAGAAAAAGGAGAGGAGAAUGGGAGGAAAGGGGGUUCUGUGAUCUGCAAAAUAACUUUGUAUGUGCCUGCUUCCUCAUCUGCUCCACAUUGCAACACUGAGAAGUGUUUAUUUUACAGAUGAAGAAACCAGAGCUUAUAAAGCUGUGAGAAGUGUACCCGGGUAAAAUUGGAUCUUGGAUCUGACAGACUGCAUCCUGGGCGCUUUCUCACACAGGGCAACCCUCCCAAGGGGAGGGGAGUCAAGGUGAGUGUAUCUUCAGCUCUGUUCGGGGCGCGGGCCUCUGGCUUCUGUGGGCAGGUCUCUCCCCACCUGCUGGCCGCUCGCCUCCCCGCAGCCGUGGGCAAGGGUUCAGUGCUACGGAGAAGCCACAGCAAAGACUCUUAUUUCUCACAGAAGCUUCCCAUCCAAAUCUGGAGGUAGUCAUGGCCUUCCAAACAUACUGCAUCUAUUUAUAGAAAAAAGAAUCAGAUAAGGAAGGGGAUUUCCUGAAGAGAAGGAAAAAGGAAAUCUAGGGGGGUCACAUGGGCACAUGAGGAAUCCCCUUAACCCACUCUCCGCAUGUGUGGAAUCCUGGCUGCAUCAGGCAAAUGCCAACUUUCGCCUUGGAGGUGUUGACAACAAUUGAUACAGAAAAGGCCCGAGGUGGGUCAUCAAACAGGAGUCUCUUUAUGUCAUUUGAGGCUUGCUUGCUAAGGAAUUAGCACCACAUCUUGCCUUUGAUCAACAGCAGAGACUCCAAACCAUUAGGUUCUGUUUUUCCUCUAAUGAGUUUCUUUAAAACCCAAGAAACAAUCUCAGCAUUCUGUUAUUUGAAAUAACAACUGCAGUAAUCAUAGCAAUUUAAGUACAAUUAUAUGGUACCUAAAAUGUGAGACAUUAUUUUAAUUUUAUUCUUGUAAUUACCUAUGAGCUGGUUACUAUUGUAUCCCCAUUUCACAGGUGAGGAAAUUGAGGCAUGAGAGAUUAAAUAUCUUGCCCAAGUCGCAGGGCUAAUGAGUGGCAGAGCCAGGACUCAAACCUAGGCAGUUUGGCCCCCGUGUGGGCACAUAACAAUUCUAGGAGAGAUAUACCACAGUUGUCCCUUGGUAUCCAUGGAAACUGGUUUCAGGACACAACCAUCCCCCACUGCCAUCCCCCUCACUUCAGAAACCAAAAUUCAUAGAUGUUCAAAUCCCUCAUAAAAAAUGGCUUAGUAUUUGCGUCUAACCUACACACAUCCUCCCAUAUACUUUAAAUCAUCUCUAGGUUACUUGUCAGACCUAAUACAAUGUAAAUAGUUGUAAAUACAAUGUAAAUGCUAUGUAAAUAGUUGACAGUGUGCAGCAAAUAUUUGCUUUUUGGAAUUUUUUUGCCAAAUAUUUUUGACCUGAGAUUGGUUUAAUCCAUGAAUGCAGGACCUGUAGAUACAGAGGGGUUGAUUGUUCUCUGAAUUUGAAGGAUAUUCAUUAUAAAAAGAAAAUCAAAUGCAUCAUCAUAAAUACAGCACAGCUGUGGUGGCAUCAAGCUGCGAGCAUCUUUCUUCUUGCCUUUGCUGAAAUUGUGGGGCGGGGGAGGAAUUUAGUGGCCUUAAGAUGAAGUAACAUCUGGUCCCUUGAGUGAACUGCUCUCAUAAUCUCUAUAUUUAGGUCAGAUCUGUAGACUGGCACACAAAAUGACUCCUGGUUCCACAUUCAUCGUUCAGUCCAAGUAUGUGAGACAGUAGAUCCUUAAUUGUUGGCAACCAAGGAAGGGUUAAUGAAGACAGCAAUAGAUAAGACUUUAGGUAAGAGGAAAAGGCUGAAUUAACUGCUGUCAUCUAUAUCACUUGAUGCCUGGAGGCAAGGAGUUGCUAAAGAAGAAAGAAACAGUAUAUUCCUAAUUUCUUUGUUCUGUUCAGAAACAUUUUCCCAGUGAAUCCUUCCACAGCAAACUGUGGCCACUUUUGCUUUGAAGACUCACUCUAAGAGCGCUUUAGGAGUUCCUGCUGUGUCGCAACAGUAUCAGCAGUGUCUUAGGAGCUCUGGGACUCACGUUUAAUCCACGGCCCCGUGCAAUGGGUUAAGGAUCUGGUGUUGCCACAGCUGCGUCUGAGGUCACUACUCCAGCUCGGAUCUGAUCCCUGGCCCGGGAACUCCAUAUGCCACAGGGCAGCCAAAACAGAAAAAGAAAAAAAAAAAGCUCUUUAGGUUUCUGGUGAAAUAUGGCGGGUUUAACACAAACCUAAUAGAUCUAAUAAAAUGUCAGUCACCUCUUGGAGUAAACCAUGAUGGAAGAUUAUCCAAGAAAAGAAAUGUCUAUAUAUAUAUGACUGGAAUAUAUAUGUAUGACCGGGUCAUUUUGUUGUAUAGCAGAAAUUGGCACAACAAUGUAAAUCAGCUAUACUUUAAUAAAAAA